Molecule: ribosomal RNA, 449 nt
Filed under: uncultured bacterium
Lineage: Bacteria
Description: bacterial SSU rRNA
Rfam family: Bacterial small subunit ribosomal RNA
Source: RNAcentral
GCCAGACUCCUACGGGAGGCAGCAGUGGGGAAUAUUGCACAAUGGGGGAAACCCUGAUGCAGCGACGCCGCGUGAGUGAGGAAGUAUUUCGGUAUGUAAAGCUCUAUCAGCAGGGAAGAAAAAAUGACGGUACCUGACUAAGAAGCACCGGCUAAAUACGUGCCAGCAGCCGCGGUAAUACGUAUGGUGCAAGCGUUAUCCGGAUUUACUGGGUGUAAAGGGAGCGCAGGCGGUACGGCAAGUCUGAUGUGAAAGCCCGGGGCUCAACCCCGGUACUGCAUUGGAAACUACCGGACUGGAGUGUCGGAGGGGUAAGUGGAAUUCCUAGUGUAGCGGUGAAAUGCGUAGAUAUUAGGAGGAACACCAGUGGCGAAGGCGGCUUACUGGACUGUAACUGACGUUGAGGCUCGAAAGCGUGGGGAGCAAACAGGAUUAGAUACCCUUGUAGA